This is an RNA transcript of Mesoplodon densirostris (Blainville's beaked whale), 2529 nucleotides long. It is a transcript of the gene named receptor-interacting serine/threonine-protein kinase 2-like, with no coding region annotated. Lineage: Eukaryota; Metazoa; Chordata; Mammalia; Artiodactyla; Ziphiidae. The record is from RefSeq and is a predicted model, not a curated record. The transcript is spliced from 2 exons.
UUUUGAAGUCGAAUUCUAGGGCUGCACUUCCCAAUAGGUAGCUCUUAGCCACAGGUUGCUAUUACUUUUUUUUAAAGUGGCUAUUAGAAAAUUUCAAAUUGUAUAUGUGGUUCACAUUAUAUUUUUAUUGAACAGCACUGCCCUAGAGUCUGGGACGUUUUGGUUUGGCCUUUUUUUUGUUUUUGGUUUACACAUGUAGGCAUGAAAGUUUAGAUAUCAAACUCAAUUUAGUUUCUCCUCUUACCGUCACAGGGAAGGAAGCCUGUCUCUAGAGGAAACUUGUAUUAUUUUUGCUAAGAAUAAACUGAAAUCAGAAAGCUGUUAAAUGACCAAAAAUUUUGAAUGUCUCUCCCAUCCUGGAACAAUUUUAGUGCAAUGUCUAGAUUUCAAGGGAAGGCUAGAUUAGUUCCUGUUUCCAGAAAAACCUUUCAACCAUAUAUAUUAAUCAGUGAGUCUAGUCACUAAUCUUGUGUAUUUUCCUUCCAAUAGGAAUUAAACUAGGCCCUGCAUUCAAUUAUUAGUGAGUUGACAUCCAUGAUUGCAACAUUCUCCUCUCCUCCCCCUAUAUCUGAAGUGAAAAUACAUCAUGCUAGAUGCCUGAUUAGCCAGAGGCUGUCAGUAUCCAACAGCAGACAAAUUCCUCAGCUUCAGCCCUGCUAAUGUUAUUGACUUUCAUCUGCCUGUGGCUUUUAUUUGCUCUCUUGCUAUCAGGCUUGGAUGGGCUAGAUCUCACAGUAAGCUUGAGACACCUCUAAAAAUUGUUCCCGCUUUUGUGUACCAUAAUCCUGAUUUAGUGAUAUACAGGGUAUAUUUACCCUGGGUCUUGAAUUCUGUGGAGCAAUUACUGGGAAAUUAUGUGUAUGUGUAUGUAGUCCACUUUGAAGGGUGGUGGUUGAUUAGAGAGGCUAGAUGUAUUUUAGAAUCAACUAUUAAAAUAUAUGGAAAUCUAGCACUGAUGGACUCAUUAGGUAUUUUAAAGGAGAUGGAUCCUCCCAUUUUGGAUGCUGCUUCUCAAGAUUUUAAUUUAUCUACGUUUUGUGCCAUUUGGGGCCAAGAAAUGAAGGCAGUUCCCUUUCGUGCUCAUUAACAAUUUCAUAAUCUAAAAUUCUUCACUAAAUCGGGUAGGAAAUUAACUCUGCCGUCAAAGAAGCCAUAAGGACCAGUGCAACACUCUGGCUUUACUGCAUCACAUUUUUUCUUCCACUUGUUACCUAGAAUGUUAACAUUAGCAGUGUUUAUGUAGUCUGAGCAUAAGACUGGGCUAUGCAUUUGACUCACAGGGUGUCUUAUGUCCUCACUUAUAACGUGGGAAUAACAUGUACUUCUUGGGCUCUGGUGUGGAUAAUUUUGCAUUGUUUGCAUUGUUCUUUGAGAUCACAAAAGAAAAAUAAGUUUAUGUGCUGUAACAUGUUCUUAUUUUAGUGAUUGGUGAAUUAUUCUCUGUAACCUGACUUCUGCCCAAUGAGUGGACCUUCCCCAACAAUCUCCCAACUCCUUAUGAGUAGUUGAGUCUGAUAGGUUGUUCAAAUACCUUGUGUAAAGAGUGUAACUGUUUUGUAACUGAAAUUUGCUGUGGGUAAUUUUGGUAAUAUGUCUAUAAACAUUUUUAUUUUUUUAAAUAUAAAAAUCUAUUUUUAAACCAUUUUGGCUUUUUCUGUUUUCCCACUCAUUCUUCCUGAAAUCUGACUUCAAGAAUUUUCCUUCUCUGAUUAAGCAGUGAGUGGAAAAAACAAAGGCUUUAGAGUCCCACAAGUGCAAUUCAAAUCUGACUCCAAAUCUGCCACUUAGUGUUGGCAUGACCAUUAGAAAUUAUUAAUUUAUGUGAGCCUUAGUGCUCUCAUAUAUAAAGUAGGGAUGAUGAAACCAACUGUAGUAAAGUGGCCAACACAUAAUAGGAUCACAAGAGAAGGAAGAAUACAUCAUACUCUUAAUGGGAGGAGGAAUUAGUAUAUUAAGUAUCACUAAGAUAUCCCCUAGCAUGCCCUCUCUAUAAUUCUUUCUCAGAGUAUCCAGGAACCUUCCCGGCAAAGGUGCUACUCAAUAACUGUCUUGUUGACCUACAUUUCAUGAGGCGAAUACAGACCUGUUUCAGCUUAGGAAAUAUAAAUUUAAUUAAUGCAGGUCUCACAAACUCGUAUAAUUGGUUGCCUCACAGUUGGGAUAUUAAGUGGCUGAAGAGCAGUGAGAAGGAGAGAAACUCUUUAUGCAUUCCUGUAAUUCUUGAAUUUUGAAACAUAGCUUCUUCAUCUUCGGAACUAGUUGUGAGCUGUGGCGAGCCAUCUAUUUGCUUGAGUAAGCGUUCAGGAAGCCAGCGAGGUCCAGGCGCUGACCUGGGAAAGAUACACACGUGACCACGUCCCCAAAUCAACACAGAAUCAGGACCAUGCCAAGUGCUGGUUAACGGAUCUUUCCAGAGGACCUCCGGAGACUGAGAGGCCAAUCUUGGCUCAGCCACCAACCUCUCCCCUGCAGAGCGGCCAAAUUUGUCAACAGUGAGAAAAUUUAAAAUAAACAGAGCAUGAUUUAUAA